Molecule: ribosomal RNA, 452 nt
Filed under: Guptibacillus hwajinpoensis
Lineage: Bacteria; Bacillati; Bacillota; Bacilli; Caryophanales; Guptibacillaceae
Description: bacterial SSU rRNA
Rfam family: Bacterial small subunit ribosomal RNA
Source: RNAcentral
GCUCAGGACGAACGCUGGCGGCGUGCCUAAUACAUGCAAGUCGAGCGAAGAGAUGGGAGCUUGCUCCCWGAUYUUAGCGGCGGACGGGUGAGUAACACGUGGGCAACCUGCCCUGCAGACUGGGAUAAYUCCGGGAAACCGGAGCUAAUACCGGGUAAUACAUCGCACCGCAUGGUGCAAUGUUGAAAGUUGGCUUUCGAGCUAACACUGCAGGAUGGGCCCGCGGCGCAUUAGCUAGUUGGUAAGGUAAUGGCUUACCAAGGCGACGAUGCGUAGCCGACCUGAGAGGGUGAUCGGCCACACUGGGACUGAGACACGGCCCAGACUCCUACGGGAGGCAGCAGUAGGGAAUCUUCCGCAAUGGACGAAAGUCUGACGGAGCAACGCCGCGUGAGUGACGAAGGCCUUCGGGUCGUAAAGCUCUGUUGUUAGGGAAGAACAAGUACCGUUCG